Small nuclear RNA from Oryctolagus cuniculus (rabbit), 162 nucleotides. Its record names the gene U2. It matches the Rfam family "U2 spliceosomal RNA". Rfam says of the family: U2 is a small nuclear RNA (snRNA) component of the spliceosome (involved in pre-mRNA splicing). Complementary binding between U2 snRNA (in an area lying towards the 5' end but 3' to hairpin I) and the branchpoint sequence (BPS) of the intron results the bulging out of an unpaired adenosine, on the BPS, which initiates a nucleophilic attack at the intronic 5' splice site, thus starting the first of two transesterification reactions that mediate splicing. Lineage: Eukaryota; Metazoa; Chordata; Mammalia; Lagomorpha; Leporidae. The record is from Ensembl.
AUCACUUCUCGGCCUUUUGGCUAAGAUCAAGUGUAGAACCCUUAGUGGCAUAUGUCAUCAUACUCAUUUUACAGAUGAGGACAUGUAAAAUAUGCAGAAGAUGCAUGAGGAUGAAUAUGGUAAAACUUGUUUUUGCCUUUAAAGCAUAUCUUCCUACUGUGU